RNAcentral lists this ribosomal RNA (1442 nucleotides) under uncultured organism. Its description in RNAcentral is "SSU rRNA". It matches the Rfam family "Bacterial small subunit ribosomal RNA". The record is from RNAcentral.
UAUUUACAGGCUUAACACAUGCAAGUCGAGGGGCAUCAGGAAGAAAGCUUGCUUUCUUUGCUGGCGACCGGCGCACGGGUGAGUAACACGUAUCCAACCUGCCCUUUACUCGGGGAUAGCCUUUCGAAAGAAAGAUUAAUACCCGAUAGCAUAAUGAUUCCGCAUGGUUUCAUUAUUAAAGGAUUCCGGUAAAGGAUGGGGAUGCGUUCCAUUAGGUUGUUGGUGAGGUAACGGCCCACCAAGCCUUCGAUGGAUAGGGGUUCUGAGAGGAAGGUCCCCCACAUUGGAACUGAGACACGGUCCAAACUCCUACGGGAGGCAGCAGUGAGGAAUAUUGGUCAAUGGGCGCUAGCCUGAACCAGCCAAGUAGCGUGAAGGAUGAAGGCUCUAUGGGUCGUAAACUUCUUUUAUAUAAGAAUAAAGUGCAGUAUGUAUACUGUUUUGUAUGUAUUAUAUGAAUAAGGAUCGGCUAACUCCGUGCCAGCAGCCGCGGUAAUACGGAGGAUCCGAGCGUUAUCCGGAUUUAUUGGGUUUAAAGGGAGCGUAGGUGGACUGGUAAGUCAGUUGUGAAAGUUUGCGGCUCAACCGUAAAAUUGCAGUUGAUACUGUCAGUCUUGAGUACAGUAGAGGUGGGCGGAAUUCGUGGUGUAGCGGUGAAAUGCUUAGAUAUCACGAAGAACUCCGAUUGCGAAGGCAGCUCACUGGACUGCAACUGACACUGAUGCUCGAAAGUGUGGGUAUCAAACAGGAUUAGAUACCCUGGUAGUCCACACAGUAAACGAUGAAUACUCGCUGUUUGCGAUAUACAGUAAGCGGCCAAGCGAAAGCAUUAAGUAUUCCACCUGGGGAGUACGCCGGCAACGGUGAAACUCAAAGGAAUUGACGGGGGCCCGCACAAGCGGAGGAACAUGUGGUUUAAUUCGAUGAUACGCGAGGAACCUUACCCGGGCUUAAAUUGCAGUGGAAUGAUGUGGAAACAUGUCAGUGAGCAAUCACCGCUGUGAAGGUGCUGCAUGGUUGUCGUCAGCUCGUGCCGUGAGGUGUCGGCUUAAGUGCCAUAACGAGCGCAACCCUUAUCUUUAGUUACUAACAGGUUAUGCUGAGGACUCUAGAGAGACUGCCGUCGUAAGAUGUGAGGAAGGUGGGGAUGACGUCAAAUCAGCACGGCCCUUACGUCCGGGGCUACACACGUGUUACAAUGGGGGGUACAGAAGGCAGCUAGCGGGUGACCGUAUGCUAAUCCCAAAAUCCUCUCUCAGUUCGGAUCGAAGUCUGCAACCCGACUUCGUGAAGCUGGAUUCGCUAGUAAUCGCGCAUCAGCCACGGCGCGGUGAAUACGUUCCCGGGCCUUGUACACACCGCCCGUCAAGCCAUGGGAGCCGGGGGUACCUGAAGUACGUAACCGCAAGGAUCGUCCUAGGGUAAAACUGGUGACUGGGGCU